Molecule: ribosomal RNA, 397 nt
Filed under: uncultured bacterium
Lineage: Bacteria
Description: partial 16S ribosomal RNA
Rfam family: Bacterial small subunit ribosomal RNA
Source: RNAcentral
CCUACGGGCGGCUGCAGUGAGGAAUAUUGGUCAAUGGGCGCGAGCCUGAACCAGCCAAGUCGCGUGAGGGAAGACGGUCCUAUGGAUUGUAAACCUCUUUUGUCGGGGAGCAAACGACGCCACGCGUGUCCUUCCGAGCGUACCCUACGAAUAAGCAUCGGCUAACUCCGUGCCAGCAGCCGCGGUAAUACGGAGGAUGCGAGCGUUAUCCGGAUUUAUUGGGUUUAAAGGGUGCGUAGGCGGAAUAUUAAUUCAGCGGUAAAAAGUCGGGGCUAAACCCCGUCGUGCCGUUGAAACUGAUGUUCUAGAGAGGGAGAGAAGUAGGCGGAAUGCGUGGUGUAGCGGUGAAAUGCAUAGAUAUCACGCAGAACACCGAUGGCGAAGGCAGCAUACCGGC